CAGAUGGUUUGUACUGAGAUGUCCUCACC
RNAcentral lists this non-coding RNA (29 nucleotides) under Mus musculus (house mouse). Lineage: Eukaryota; Metazoa; Chordata; Mammalia; Rodentia; Muridae. The record is from RNAcentral.